This 253-nucleotide ribosomal RNA is filed under the name uncultured bacterium. RNAcentral describes it as "partial 16S ribosomal RNA". It matches the Rfam family "Bacterial small subunit ribosomal RNA", at positions 524 to 776 of the family's 1533-position model. The record is from RNAcentral.
UACGUAGGGUGCGAGCGUUAAUCGGAAUUACUGGGCGUAAAGGGUGCGUAGGCGGUUUGAUAAGUCUGAUGUGAAAUCCCCGGGCUCAACCUGGGAACGGCAUUGGAGACUGUCAAGCUAGAGUGCGUCAGAGGGGGGUAGAAUUCCACGUGUAGCAGUGAAAUGCGUAGAGAUGUGGAGGAAUACCGAUGGCGAAGGCAGCCCCCUGGGAUGACACUGACGCUGAGAAGCGAAAGCAUGGGGAGCGAACAGG